RNAcentral lists this ribosomal RNA (253 nucleotides) under uncultured bacterium. RNAcentral's name for it is "partial 16S ribosomal RNA". It matches the Rfam family "Bacterial small subunit ribosomal RNA", at positions 524 to 776 of the family's 1533-position model. The record is from RNAcentral.
UACGGGGGGGGCAAGCGUUGUUCGGAAUUACUGGGCGUAAAGGGCUCGUAGGCGGCCAACUAAGUCGGAUGUGAAAUCCCCAGGCUCAACCUGGGAACUGCAUCCGAUACUGGAUGGCUUGAAUCCGGGAGAGGGAUGCAGAAUUCCAGGUGUAGCGGUGAAAUGCGUAGAUAUCAGGAGGAACACCGGUGGCGAAGGCGGGUCUCUGGGCAAUAACUGACGCUGAGGAGCGAAAGCGUGGGGAGCGAACAGG